CGACGAGCAGAAAAUAUUUACCUUGAACAGAUUUCAUGAUAUACGGCCACAAAGGGCGUUGACCGGCCAUGACCAGAAAUUCUGGGCAGCCCAGAAUAUGAUGAACACGUUCUGACAACAUAUUCUGAUGCUUAGAUAUCCCUCAUGUUGUAUGAUUUGGUCCCGAAAUGGUUAUGACCAUGUACUCCUACAUACAUACUACAAGAUUUAAUCAAUAGAAUGUCCAGAAAGAGUGUAGAUUAAAAAUUAAAGAAGUUCAAAGUAGGUACCCUUGUGCACUGACUGUCAGUGUUCUUGAGCCUCAAGAACACCUAUCGCGACAGAAACUGUCGCUAAAGCCUUUAGCGAUGGAUUUAAU
RNAcentral lists this long non-coding RNA (358 nucleotides) under Panax ginseng (ginseng). Its description in RNAcentral is "long non-coding RNA (PGIN_LNC002036)". The record is from RNAcentral. Lineage: Eukaryota; Viridiplantae; Streptophyta; Magnoliopsida; Apiales; Araliaceae.